GAUGAACGCUGACAGAAUGCUUAACACAUGCAAGUCAACUUGAACUUCGGUUUGGGUGGCGGACGGGUGAGUAACGCGUAAAGAACUUGCCUCACAGAUAGGGACAACAUUUGGAAACGAAUGCUAAUACCUGAUAUUAUGAUUAUAUGGCAUCGUAUAAUUAUGAAAGCUAUAUGCGCUGUGGGAGAGCUUUGCGUCCCAUUAGCUAGUGGGAGAGGUAACGGCUCACCAAGGCGAGGAUGGGUAGCCGGCCUGAGAGGGUGAUCGGCCACAAGGGGACUGAGACACGGCCCUUACUCCUACGGGGGGAAGAGGUGGGGAAUAUUGGACAAGGGACCAAGAGUCUGAUCCAGCAAUUCUGUGUGCACGAUGAAGUUUUUCGGAAUGUAAAGUGCUUUCAGUUGGGAAGAAAAAAAUGACGGUACCAACAGAAGAAGUGACGGCUAAAUACGUG
This 454-nucleotide ribosomal RNA is filed under the name uncultured bacterium. RNAcentral describes it as "partial 16S ribosomal RNA". It matches the Rfam family "Bacterial small subunit ribosomal RNA", at positions 28 to 507 of the family's 1533-position model. The record is from RNAcentral.